RNAcentral lists this transfer RNA (72 nucleotides) under Capra hircus (goat). It matches the Rfam family "tRNA". From Rfam's summary of the family: Transfer RNA (tRNA) molecules are approximately 80 nucleotides in length. Their secondary structure includes four short double-helical elements and three loops (D, anti-codon, and T loops). RNAcentral also lists the same sequence under 2 other names. Lineage: Eukaryota; Metazoa; Chordata; Mammalia; Artiodactyla; Bovidae. The record is from Rfam by way of RNAcentral.
UCCCUGAUAGCUCAGUUGGUAAAGAAUCUACCUGCAAUGCAGGAGACCCUGGUUCAAUUCCUGGGUUGGGAA